GUUUGUUUUUGUUUGUUUUUGGGGAGUGUAGGCUUUUUGGUUUCUAUCAUUAAGAGGGAUGGAGGCUUCUCAUUAGAUGGUUGACUUGGUUGGUUUUUCUGAUCUGAAAAUCGUGAUGAAGGUUUAUAGAUUUUACCCCGUUUUUCAUCUGUUUCAUGUUCCUCUUUAGAUGCAUUAACAAUUCCUCCUCUUACAAAUGUUUUCACUUUAUUGCCAUCGCUUCCCUCAAAGGCAGCAAGGAAUUCUUCAUAAAUUUCUGCAGCAGCCUUCUCAUCCUCCUUCUUUUUUAAUUCUUCUUGUUCCUUCUUGCUCAAAGUCCGUUUGGCAGCACUCAUUUUGCCAAUGCUGAACGCUUUAAGUUUACUUUCCAUUAAAGGAUGUGUAUCAGCAGACCCAGUGUUAUGUACCGCAUCUGGAGCUCUGACCUUCCCACUGCCUUUCUGCGAGCCGCCGGGCGCCUUGUCCGCCAUCUUGCCUCUCCCUGCGCUCAGCCCCG
This 496-nucleotide long non-coding RNA is filed under the name Gallus gallus (chicken). The record is from RNAcentral. Lineage: Eukaryota; Metazoa; Chordata; Aves; Galliformes; Phasianidae.